Molecule: ribosomal RNA, 188 nt
Filed under: uncultured bacterium
Lineage: Bacteria
Description: partial 16S ribosomal RNA
Rfam family: Bacterial small subunit ribosomal RNA
Source: RNAcentral
UGCAACCCGACUCCGUGAAGCUGGAUUCGCUAGUAAUCGCGCAUCAGCCAUGGCGCGGUGAAUACGUUCCCGGGCCUUGUACACACCGCCCGUCAAGCCAUGGAAGCCGGGGGCGCUUUGAAGUGCGUUGCCGCAAGGCGCGCCCUAGAGCGAAACCGGUGACUGGGGCUAAGUCGUAACAAGGUAAC